GAGGAUGUAGCCCAGUUGGUCAGAGUGCCUGCCUCACAUACACAGGCCCUGGGUUCAAUUCCCAGCACCUCA
This 72-nucleotide transfer RNA is filed under the name Cricetulus griseus (Chinese hamster). It matches the Rfam family "tRNA". Rfam says of the family: Transfer RNA (tRNA) molecules are approximately 80 nucleotides in length. Their secondary structure includes four short double-helical elements and three loops (D, anti-codon, and T loops). The record is from Rfam by way of RNAcentral. Lineage: Eukaryota; Metazoa; Chordata; Mammalia; Rodentia; Cricetidae.